Molecule: long non-coding RNA, 1363 nt
Organism: Rhineura floridana
Lineage: Eukaryota; Metazoa; Chordata; Lepidosauria; Squamata; Rhineuridae
Exons: 4
Source: RefSeq, a predicted model, not a curated record
CACAGGAAAUCCACUUUGGCCCCGAACGGCGCCAGACACGCCCACCACGAAGUACAAGUUGCGCCCUUCGAGCAGCCACGUGAGAAGCGACGAGAGAGUAGACAUGCGCAAAUUUUCUCCACCCUGCAGGCUUUCAUCUGGUUCGCUGCACCUUCUGUUGGCGUUGUUGACGUUUAAACACAUGUACUUCACAGUUCACCUUGCACUCUCAUACAUAACUACAUUGAGACCCACUGAUUUCUGUGGGGUUUACUUCCAGGCUCAACAAUAGAAGAGGGAGGAGUUAAACCACGCGGUCUGUUGAAGAAAGCGGGGAGCGGGAGGAGCAGUGAUGCCUGAAAUAGACCAUCCCCUGGCUAGCCCGGCCGGCAUUGAAAAGCAUCCGUCCGCGCGAGAAGGCGAAAAAUUCCCACGUGGCAUGGGAAGAUGGAGUCGUACUACAGAGAAAGAUACAGGAUCAGUCCCAGGCCCUGAACCUGGCAACCCUAAUAUUGGAAUUCUAGUUUGAAAAAAAAAUCUAAAGAAGCAUAAGGACAAAAAAUUUGCCACUGAAGAAGACAAAAAUGUUGAAACACAUCUGGCUGUUACAUGUUUUUAGGAGCACUUAUUUUUAAGUGGGAUAAAGAAAUGCUUUCUUUAUAUUUAUUUAUACUAUUCAUUUUAUUCGAUGGAAAGUUAAAACUAUAUGUUUAUAUGGAUUUUUAGUUGUAUGUUUUAUCUUAACUCUGUUCUUAACAAAAUGCUACUUGAAAAGGAUAGUAAAACUUUUUUCCUUUGUGUGUACAACCUGGAUGUAUUAGCACUUGGCUAUCAAACAAGCCUGCUUCCAAAUAUUCUCUCAUCCUCUGUUUUGCUUGAUUUAAUAACAUACACAGAUAGAAUGUUGUUUGUGUACUGUUAUGAUUUUAAUCAAUUAACAUUGACUGUGGAGUAUUUUAGCCCCGUGUCAUCAUUUCAAAUCUAGAGCUUAGUUUUUAUCAUUGGUAAUUUAAUAUUUUUAUUAGAAAGAAAUAACCAAGUUUUAAAACCAUGAAAUGUAGUAAAAUACUCUUUGAUUGGUAUAAAUUUAUGCAGACAAAAAGAAGCUCUAAAUAGCUGAAAACAGGGAUAUAAUUUUAUUGCUUGAUCUCUGUCUUCAAACUUGUUCUUUGGUGCUUAACAUGUGAAUGAGGAAACAACUGUCCUGGACAUAGUCUACUUGGAUAACAUUAUUUUUGCCUGAAAAGAAAUAGGCACACUACCACAUAUUAUUUUAACUGCAUUAGAUACAACAGAAUUAAUAGAAAACUAAUAUACUGUAUUCAUGUAGGAAAACUUAUUUAAGUACUAGUACAUAACAAUUAAUAAAAGGCAUUUAUUUGUU